CCUACGGGAGGCAGCAGUGAGGAAUAUUGGUCAAUGGGCGAGAGCCUGAACCAGCCAAGUCGCGUGAAGGAUGACGGCCCUACGGGUUGUAAACUUCUUUUGUCAGGGAGCAAUUGGGUCCACGCGUGGGCUUAGCGAGAGUACCUGAAGAAAAAGCAUCGGCUAACUCCGUGCCAGCAGCCGCGGUAAUACGGAGGAUGCGAGCGUUAUCCGGAUUUAUUGGGUGUAAAGGGCGGGUAGGCGGGAAAGCAAGUCAGAUGUUAAAACUGCGGGCUAAACCCUGAGCCUGCAGUUGAAACUGUUGGUCUUGAGUGCUGGAGAGGCAAUCGGAAUUCCUUGUGUAGCGGUGAAAUGCGUAGAUAUACGGAGGAACACCGGUGGCGAAGGCAGAUUGCUGGACAGUAACUGACGCUGAGGCGCGAAAGCGUGGGGAGCAAACAGGAUUAGAUACCCUAGUAGUC
Molecule: ribosomal RNA, 461 nt
Filed under: uncultured bacterium
Lineage: Bacteria
Description: partial 16S ribosomal RNA
Rfam family: Bacterial small subunit ribosomal RNA
Source: RNAcentral